This 77-nucleotide transfer RNA is filed under the name Candidatus Saccharimonadota bacterium. Its description in RNAcentral is "tRNA-Met". It matches the Rfam family "tRNA". From Rfam's summary of the family: Transfer RNA (tRNA) molecules are approximately 80 nucleotides in length. The record is from RNAcentral. Lineage: Bacteria; Candidatus Saccharimonadota.
CGCGGGGUAGAGCAGUCUGGUAGCUCGUUUGGCUCAUAACCAAAAGGUCGUAGGUUCAAAUCCUACCCCCGCAACCA